RNAcentral lists this ribosomal RNA (551 nucleotides) under uncultured bacterium. RNAcentral's name for it is "partial 16S ribosomal RNA". It matches the Rfam family "Bacterial small subunit ribosomal RNA", at positions 355 to 895 of the family's 1533-position model. The record is from RNAcentral.
UGGGGAAUAUUGCACAAUGGGCGCAAGCCUGAUGCAGCCAUGCCGCGUGUGUGAAGAAGGCCUUCGGGUUGUAAAGCACUUUCAGCGAGGAGGAAGGUGGUGAGCUUAAUACGCUCAUCAAUUGACGUUACUCGCAGAAGAAGCACCGGCUAACUCCGUUCCAGCAGCCGCGGUAAUACGGAGGGUGCAAGCGUUAAUCGGAAUUACUGGGCGUAAAGCGCACGCAGGCGGUUUGUUAAGUCAGAUGUGAAAUCCCCGGGCUCAACCUGGGAACUGCAUUUGAAACUGGCAAGCUAGAGUCUCGUAGAGGGGGGUAGAAUUCCAGGUGUAGCGGUGAAAUGCGUAGAGAUCUGGAGGAAUACCGGUGGCGAAGGCGGCCCCCCUGGACGAAGACUGACGCUCAGGUGCGAAAGCGUGGGGCAGCAAACAGGAUUAGAUACCCUGGUAGUCCAGCGCUGUAAACGAUGUCGAUUUGGAGGUUGUGCCCUUGAGGCGUGGCUUCCGGAGCUAACGCGUUAAAUCGACCGCCUGGGGAGUACGGCCGCAAGGUU